AACUGGAGUUUGCCAUAUAUGCGCAUAAACACCCACACGCACAGAAGUACGAUUGCGUCAUAGUGGAUACGUAUACAUAGAUACACUCUAAAAAACGGUAGGCGCACAGACACCACCGAGCACCACCUCGGCUCGUUAGUGUCGCCGUUGCGUCGCCUCUCCUCCCCGCGACGUCAUUGCAGACGCGAGGAUAGCCCCGCAAGGCGAAAUAAAAAGAAGCUGAAGACGACUGCACCAUUGCUGCCAGCGGCAUCACCAGCCCUCUCAUCACCACCAUCACCACCCACCCCCUUCUAACGAGGGCACAAUGGCGGCCAAGAGGGAAUUUUAUGUGGACUUUGAGGUGAAGUUUGGGAAGACGGUCGUCUCGCUUGAGAUGCCGGCCUCCGCCACUGUGCACGAUCUGAAGCACAGACUGGAGGAGCAGACACACGUGCGCCUGGACAAGCAGCGACUGUUGCUCAACCUGCCUGUUCUAAAGGCAAAGCACAGAGAUCCGCCGCACGAUACGGUGGUUCGCCUUCUCUUUCCGACGGAGCUGGUCAACCGCUGCGAGCAGCACGACGGGCCUGUGGCGCAGCACGUGAAGGUGAGCGCCAUGUUGCUCGGCAGUGCCGAGACGGCCCCGGCGGUGAACGUGGCGGCGACAUCCGAGAUAUCGCGCUUGGUCGCCACCACGGUGGAGCACGACGGCAAGUGGUACCGCUGCUCCUACGCACGAGGCUAUCUGCGGCAGACGGCGUACGUCUGUCGCACAUGCAUCGACGAGGGGAGGGCUGACCCACAACACGCGCUCUGCCUCGCUUGCGCCGAGUUCUGCCACGGAAAUCACGAGGUCGAGGAGUGGGGCGUGCGGUACUACAUGCGAUGCGACUGCUGCACGCAGAAGUGCUGGCGGCCUCCAGCGGAUCCGGAGGCGGCGGCAGAGGCCGCCGCAGAGCGUCUAGCGGGGCUCUCUUCCUCGCCAUCCGUAGCGUCCGCCCCGGCCUCCGGGUCCAAAGUGUGCGCCGUGCAGAUGCACGACAUUGAAGAGCGCACCACGCGCAAGCGCGCGCGUUCGACAUCGCCGCUGACACCGAAGCGCUCGCGCGGCAGCUCGCCUGUGAGUGGCAUUCGCAUGGCCACGAUCCCGCCGGCAGACAUGCCGGAGAUCAUCCUGCACCACUCCACCGCCGCUGGUGCGGCGGCGGCGUCGUUAGUGAGUGCCUCGAGACCAUCACAAGACGCUAGCAGGCCCCUUCCCUCGUCGUCCGCGUUCUCCCCAGGACCGUCGCCGCCCUUGGCCGCUGCCGACGAGACGGGUGCCUCGCCGAGUGCCUCGAACGGGCGGGCCUUUGUCGGCAAGCGCGCCUCUGACGGCGGCGACGAGGGCGGCGACAUCUACGGCGACCACGGCGAGGGGAAGCACAGUGACGCGCUCCCGCCACCGCUGCCGGAGCUGAGUCGCUGUGCCUUCGUCGUGGACAGCAAGACAAAGAAGGCGCCAGUGGAGUCGGUUCUGCCAACGAAUCGGCACAACCGCUACCCACGCGACCCGUUCAACUGGUGCUACUGCAAAAACGCCUACCCCAGUGACGACCCCGAGUGCGGCGGUAUUGCCUGCAUGCUCUGCUGCAGCUGCUACUGGAGCACCCACAUCACGAGGCUGCACACAUACCAGUACCGGCGUAUGCCGUGCUACGGCGAUGUGCUGCUCGGCGACACGGUCGCCUUCAAGUGCAAGACAUGCAACACUCACGUGUGUGUGCCGUGCCGAUACCGCUGCCACAAGGACCACGACGUUGAGGAGGCGUUGGUGACCCCGUCGAAGGACGAUGGCACCGACAACAGCGGGCCGGAGGGGGUAAGGUUCAGCUGCGGCUGCCGGGGGCUCUGCGCCAUUGCGGAGGAGGUUCCGGCCGAGAUGAUCGAUGAUGAAAGCACAUUCGACCCGAUCCCAGACUCCGUGGCAACAGAGCUGAUGAAUGACGAUGUCUUCACCGGAUUUGUGUGCGCCUACUGCAUGCAGGAGCACCCAUGGAUGGCGACGGAAGACCCACUGAGGUGCUACCACGGCGAGCUGCCGCCGAUGACACCCGCGAAGAAAGUGGUGCUUGCCUGCGGCACCAAGUCUGCAGCGCCCCACUCGGCAGACAUGGAGGACUCCGACGUGUUCCCGUACCACGGGAUGCUGUUGCCGGUGAACGCCUUCACGGACGGCAUGACGUGCUCCUGUAGGCUGUGCCGCUCUGCUUUUGACCAGUUCGCGCCGCGCGCGACAGAGAACGCGACGGAGAUGAUCAUGGAGCUGCAUGACCACUGCGACCACUGCGGCAAAUCCGUCAAGGACCAGCAGGCCUUCAUGUGCCGCACAUGCGAGAUGAACCUCGACAACACCUUCUUCAUCUGCAAAGAUUGCAACGCGAUGCGGGAGUUGCUGGUGCAGAAUGGCAAUCGCGUGCGGGCCUUGGCCGGUCCGCAGAACGAUGAGGCACCGCCACAGUCGGACGAGAGGGAGCAGGGGGAGGUGGGAGGGGUGGGAGGGGUGACGGCAGAAGGCUCUGAAUUUGACGCAGCGAUCAACAGCGCGGACGACGAGACCCUGCCCGAGGCCGGCGGGUACGACCACGAUCUCUCACACGAGUUCAUCGAGGACACCUUCGAAAACUUGUACGCGCUCUGCGGAAUGCAGAUUCUGCAGAACAUGGACCCCGAGAUGCAGGAGUACGUCGCUUCUAACUGGAAUCCAAUGGUGAACCAGGUGGAAGUGGUGAACACCUUGUCGCAGUCGCUCGGGCAGAUUCCGUUGCAGUUUGAUGAGGAUGAGCUGCGAGAGAUGGCCGUGCUGAACCAAAAGCCCAACGAAACACAGGGGCGCAUAUGAAAGAAUGCGCAGCAGCGGGGGUAGCGGACAGAGAGAGAGAGACAGGACGAAGCCCACGGUAACAUAAAACAGCGCUGCUCAUGAGAGCCGUGUACCGCUCUCACGACCUCGCAUACGCUCGAUCAGCGCCUCAUGCGGCAGCGCGCGGCGCACCUCGCUUGACGUUUGUGGCAUGACAUAUUGCGUGGGCCAGCAGUUGCCGGGCAGUCGCUCAGUGUCUUUGGCCUGCAUACGUAUACGCUUGGGAGGAGAUUUGAGUGAGCAGACCUGUGGGUAUGUGUCUCUCUCGAAGUGGUGGCAGAUUGAUGCCAUGUGCCAGACCCGCAUCACCCACCCCCACCCACACACGCACACGAAAACAAAAAAAGGCAGGGGCCAUUCGACAGCGCUGAACAUCGACGUGGAAUGGCCCUCCUUACCCUCGUUGCCGUCUCGUUUGCCGCGCACUGUGGCGACGCGCGACGUUAAGCAGAGUCGAGAAAGGCGAAGGUAUAAACUCGAGCGUCUUUCUCUUGUCUUUUGCGACGCAAUGACCAAGCGAAACGUAGAAAGAGCUGCCCCUCAUCCCCCUCCCCGCCCCACACGCACACAGACAUCUCGCCGACAUUC
Molecule: unclassified non-coding RNA, 3472 nt
Filed under: Leishmania donovani
Lineage: Eukaryota; Euglenozoa; Kinetoplastea; Trypanosomatida; Trypanosomatidae
Description: gene:LdHU3.28.1510(CDS-product:Ubiquitin_family_p utative)
Source: RNAcentral